RNAcentral lists this non-coding RNA (358 nucleotides) under Omnitrophica WOR_2 bacterium RIFCSPHIGHO2_02_FULL_50_17. Its description in RNAcentral is "bacterial LSU rRNA". It matches the Rfam family "Bacterial large subunit ribosomal RNA", at positions 2580 to 2925 of the family's 2925-position model. Lineage: Bacteria; Pseudomonadati; Candidatus Omnitrophota. The record is from RNAcentral.
UUCGCCGGUUAAAAGGGUACGCGAGCUGGGUUUAGAACGUCGUGAGACAGUUCGGUCUCUAUCUGGUGUGGGCGUUCGAUACUUGAAGGGGAAAUCUCCCCAGUACGAGAGGACCGGGAGAUACGGACCUCUGGUGUUCCAGUUAUCCUGCCAAGGGUAAUGGCUGGGUAGCCAUGUCCGGAAAGGAUAAGCGCUGAAUGCAUCUAAGCGCGAAGCCAACCUUAAGAUUAGGUAUCGUUCCUUGGACCGCAAGGUUCGGGGGAGAGGCUCCUCGUAGACUACGAGGUUGAUAGGCUGCAUGUGUAAGACCAGUAAUGGUUUUAGCUAAGCAGUACUAAUAAGCCAAAGGCUUGACCAU